GAAUUACAGACAUUGAAAGAAGCUUGUGAGGCUGCCCUUGAACAAAAAUACUUUCUUGACCAAUCUGAACUUGAAGGGUUCGUAGAUGAAGCCGAAAUUGCUCAUCGGAAACAAUUAAAAUCACUAAGAACUGUGUUCGAAAAAGUUGCCGAGGCAGAUGCGCCGUCUGAGGUGCCUGACUAUCUCUGUUGUAAAAUCACGCUCGAUAUUCU
This 212-nucleotide unclassified non-coding RNA is filed under the name Hevea brasiliensis (rubber tree). The record is from RNAcentral. Lineage: Eukaryota; Viridiplantae; Streptophyta; Magnoliopsida; Malpighiales; Euphorbiaceae.